This 77-nucleotide transfer RNA is filed under the name Fluviicoccus sp. Its description in RNAcentral is "tRNA-Pro". It matches the Rfam family "tRNA". Rfam says of the family: Transfer RNA (tRNA) molecules are approximately 80 nucleotides in length. Their secondary structure includes four short double-helical elements and three loops (D, anti-codon, and T loops). Further hydrogen bonds mediate the characteristic L-shaped molecular structure. tRNAs have two regions of fundamental functional importance: the anti-codon, which is responsible for specific mRNA codon recognition, and the 3' end, to which the tRNAs corresponding amino acid is attached (by aminoacyl-tRNA synthetases). tRNAs cope with the degeneracy of the genetic code in two manners: having more than one tRNA (with a specific anti-codon) for a particular amino acid; and 'wobble' base-pairing, i.e. permitting non-standard base-pairing at the 3rd anti-codon position. The record is from RNAcentral. RNAcentral also lists the same sequence under 1 other name. Lineage: Bacteria; Pseudomonadati; Pseudomonadota; Gammaproteobacteria; Moraxellales; Moraxellaceae.
CGGGGUGUAGCUCAGCCUGGUAGAGCACUGCGUUCGGGACGCAGUGGCCGGAGGUUCGAAUCCUCUCACCCCGACCA